CCUACGGGGGUCAGCAGUGAGGAAUCUUGGUCAAUGGGCGUAAGCCUGAACCAGCCAAGUCGCGUGAGGGAUGAAGGUUCUAUGGAUCGUAAACCUCUUUUAUACGGGCAUAAAGUGUGGGACGUGUCCUAUUUUUUAUGUACCUUAUGAAUAAGGAUCGGCUAACUCCGUGCCAGCAGCCGCGGUAAUACGGAGGAUCAGAGCGUUAUCCGGAUUUAUUGGGUUUAAAGGGUGCGUAGGCGGCCUUUUAAGUCAGCGGUGAAAGUCUGUGGCUCAACCAGAGAAUUGUCGUUGAAACUGGGGGGCUUGAGUACGUGUGAGGCAGGCGGAAUUCGUGGUGUAGCGGUGAAAUGCUUAGAUAUCACGCAGAACCCCGAUUGCGAAGGCAGCCUGCCAAGCCAUGACUGACGCUGAUGCACGAAAGCGUGGGGAUCAAACAGGAUUAGAUACCCCAGUAGUC
Molecule: ribosomal RNA, 460 nt
Filed under: uncultured bacterium
Lineage: Bacteria
Description: partial 16S ribosomal RNA
Rfam family: Bacterial small subunit ribosomal RNA
Source: RNAcentral